RNAcentral lists this non-coding RNA (27 nucleotides) under Homo sapiens (human). The record is from RNAcentral. Lineage: Eukaryota; Metazoa; Chordata; Mammalia; Primates; Hominidae.
UCACCCAUGCAUCUGAUGAGGCUUCAC